CGACAGCAAUAUGAAGGUCAGGCUGAAGACCUUAUCCGAUUAGCUGAGGGGUGGUGCAUGGCCGUCGUCAGUUCGUACUGUGAAGCAUCCUGUUAAGUCAGGCAACGAGCGAGACCCACGUCCACAGUUGCCAGCAUACCCUCCGGGGUGAUGGGUACACUGUGGAGACCGCCGCUGCUAAAGCGGAGGAAGGAGUGGGCAACGGUAGGUCAGUAUGCCCCGAAUCUCCCGGGCUACACGCGGGCUACAAUGGUUGGUACAAUGGGCAUCUACCCCGAAAGGGGAAGGAAAUCUCUUAAAGCCAAUCGUAGUUCGGAUUGAGGGCUGCAACUCGCCCUCAUGAAGCUGGAAUCCGUAGUAAUCGCGUUUCAACAGAACGCGGUGAAUACGUCCCUGCUCCUU
RNAcentral lists this ribosomal RNA (402 nucleotides) under uncultured Methanosaeta sp. RNAcentral describes it as "bacterial SSU rRNA". It matches the Rfam family "Archaeal small subunit ribosomal RNA", at positions 937 to 1338 of the family's 1478-position model. Lineage: Archaea; Methanobacteriati; Methanobacteriota; Methanomicrobia; Methanotrichales; Methanotrichaceae. The record is from RNAcentral.